AGUGAACGCUGGCGGCGUGCCUAAUACAUGCAAGUCGAACGAGUGGCGCACGGGUGAGUAAUAUAUAUUAAUAUGCCCUACACAGAGGAACAACAGUUGGAAACGACUGCUAAUACCUCAUAGUGUAGGAUGAGACUAUAUCGUAUCAGCUAGUUGGUAAGGUAAUGGCUUACCAAGGCUAUGACGCGUAACUGGUCUGCGAGGAUGAUCAGUCACAUGGGAACGUAGAAACAGUCCAAACUCCUACGGGCGGCAGCAGUAAGGAAUUGUGCGCAAUAGGGGAAAUCCUGAUCCAGCCAUGCCGCGUGUGUGAAGAAGGUCUGCGGAUUGUAAAGCACUUUAAGUUGGGAGGCGUUACCAACAGAAUAAGCACCGGCUAACUUCGUGCCAGCAGCCGCGGUAAUAC
This 406-nucleotide ribosomal RNA is filed under the name uncultured bacterium. RNAcentral's name for it is "partial 16S ribosomal RNA". It matches the Rfam family "Bacterial small subunit ribosomal RNA", at positions 29 to 526 of the family's 1533-position model. The record is from RNAcentral.